Molecule: ribosomal RNA, 406 nt
Filed under: uncultured bacterium
Lineage: Bacteria
Description: partial 16S ribosomal RNA
Rfam family: Bacterial small subunit ribosomal RNA
Source: RNAcentral
AUUGAACGCUGGCGGCAGGCCUAACCCAUGCAAGUCUAACGAGUGGCGGACGGGUGAGUAAUGUCUGGGAAUCUGCCCGAUGGAGGGGGAUAACUACGGGAAAAGGUAGCUAAUACCGCAUACCAUCGGAUGGGACCAGAUGGGAUUAGCUAGUAGGUGGGGUAACGGCGCACCUAGGCGACGAUCCCUAGCUGGUCUGAGAGGAUGACCAGCCACACGGGAACUGAGCAACGGGCCAGACUCUGACGGGAGGCAGCAGUGGGGAAUAUUGCACAAUGGGCGAAAGCCUGAUGCAGCCAUGCCGCGUGUAUGAAGAAGGCCUUCGGGUUGUAAAGUACUUUCAGCGAGGAGGCGUUACUCGCAGAAGAAGCACCGGCUAACUCCGUGCCAGCAGCCGCGGUAAUAC